AUAUAAGAAAUGUCCAUGUUCUAAUCGAUUGUUGUUGUGGAGUCGGCAUACUGCUCGGAGGCGGCAGCGUCGGGAUCCGUCUCUCCGCGGCAUGCUUCAGAGUUGGUGGCGUUGAAUCCGGGCGAUGCUGGUGGGUUGCUGGUUACUGCUCUUCCUCUUCCUCUUCACUGGAGAUGGCGGCUCUUCUGUUGCCAACACACACAAACGCCUCAGCAGCACCUACUUCAUAAGUUGUUGUUCAUGUAGGGCCACUGGAGACUGAGCUCCCACCUGCACUUUUGGACGAACUUGUGCCGUUGCAUCUAGGCAUGCACCGGCAGAGGCAAAUGGUGUAGAGGACCAGGGCUCAUCAAGCAA
Long non-coding RNA from Lolium rigidum, 357 nucleotides. RefSeq lists it as uncharacterized. The transcript has 3 exons. The record is from RefSeq and is a predicted model, not a curated record. Lineage: Eukaryota; Viridiplantae; Streptophyta; Magnoliopsida; Poales; Poaceae.